Molecule: non-coding RNA, 509 nt
Organism: Phascolarctos cinereus (koala)
Lineage: Eukaryota; Metazoa; Chordata; Mammalia; Diprotodontia; Phascolarctidae
Source: RefSeq, a predicted model, not a curated record
CAAAAAAGGCAAAGGGCCAAGUUUUAUGUGAUUCUACUAAAUAAAUAAUCUUAGGGGAUGUGCCAGUCUAAGGCAUUCUGACAAACUACAUGGCUAUAUCUCUUUAUCCCUGAAUAAACUACUCCAGAUGAAAAAAGGUCGUUGAGGGAGACUGCAUUAAGAUUUUCAGUUAAGUUCCCUCAGCCAUCAUCCCGGGAAGCAGCCCUUGUGGAAAUAAAGCCUGGAAGCUGUUCCUUCAGGUGCUAUUACAAGCACAGUUACUGAAGACCAGAAAAUAAAGUUCUUACCAUUGAAAUCCUUGGCCCCAUCAAAUGAUUCAGCAUCAGAAAUCAAUGUGUUUUAUCAACAGAAAUGACAUUAAAGAAGAGGUACUCUGUCCACUGUUUCACGUAGUUGCUUCCAUCAUGAUGAUUGGUUCAGUUUUGGAGAUGUUGAAGUAACGGUGGAGGAUUCAAAGAGCAAUAUUGUAAUCUGCUGGUGUCCACUGUAUAUAUGUCUACUAGGCUAUA